This 403-nucleotide ribosomal RNA is filed under the name uncultured bacterium. RNAcentral's name for it is "partial 16S ribosomal RNA". It matches the Rfam family "Bacterial small subunit ribosomal RNA", at positions 30 to 526 of the family's 1533-position model. The record is from RNAcentral.
AUUGAACGCUGGCGGCAGGCCUAACACAUGCAAGUCGAGCGAGCGGCGGACGGGUGAGUAAUGUAUGGGGACUCCCCGAUAGAGGGGGAUAACUCCUGGAAACGGUAGCUAAUACCGCAUACUAUCGCAUAAUGCAUAUGGGAUUGGCUAGUAGGUGAGGUAUGGGCGCACCUAGGCGACGAUCCCUAGCUGGUCUGAGAGGAUGAUCAGCCACACUGGGACUGAGACACGGCCCAGACUCCUACGGAGGCAGCAGUGGGGAAUAUUGCACAAUGGGCGCAAGCCUGAUGCAGCCAUCCCGCGUGUAUGAUGAAGGCCUUCGGGUUGUAAAGUACUUUUGGCAGAGAAGCGGUAUCUGCAGAAUAAGCACCGGCUAACUACGUGCCAGCAGCCGCGGUAAUUC